This 390-nucleotide ribosomal RNA is filed under the name uncultured Alphaproteobacteria bacterium. Its description in RNAcentral is "bacterial SSU rRNA". It matches the Rfam family "Bacterial small subunit ribosomal RNA", at positions 9 to 429 of the family's 1533-position model. The record is from RNAcentral. Lineage: Bacteria; Pseudomonadati; Pseudomonadota; Alphaproteobacteria.
GAGUUUGAUCGUGGCUCAGAACGAACGCUGGCGGCAUGCCUAACACAUGCAAGUCGAACGAUGGCUUCGGCCAUAGUGGCGCACGGGUGAGUAACGCGUGGGAACCUGCCUUCUGGUUCGGAAUAACUCCGGGAAACUGGAGCUAAUACCGGAUGAGCCCUGCGGGGCAAAGAUUUAUCGCCAGGAGAGGGGCCCGCGUCCGAUUAGGUAGUUGGUGGGGUAACGGCCUACCAAGCCGACGAUCGGUAGCUGGUCUGAGAGGAUGAUCAGCCACACUGGGACUGAGACACGGCCCAGACUCCUACGGGAGGCAGCAGUGGGGAAUAUUGGACAAUGGGCGCAAGCCUGAUCCAGCCAUACCGCGUGGGUGAAGAAGGCCUCGGUUGUAAG